Molecule: ribosomal RNA, 1906 nt
Filed under: human gut metagenome
Description: bacterial LSU rRNA
Rfam family: Bacterial large subunit ribosomal RNA
Source: RNAcentral
UCAAGCUGUAAAGGGCGCAAGGGGAAUGCCUUGGCACUGAGAGCCGAUGAAGGACGCGACAAGCUGCGAUAAGCUACGGGGAGCCGCAAAUGGGCUUUGAUCCGUAGAUUUCCGAAUGGGGAAACCCGGCAGAGCAAUACUCUGUCAACGUACACUGAAUACAUAGGUGUACGUGGGGAACCGCCUGAACUGAAACAUCUAAGUAGGGCGAGGAAGAGAAAUCAACCGAGAUUCCGCUAGUAGUGGCGAGCGAACGCGGAAGAGGCCAAACCGAAGGUAGCAAUAUCUUCGGGGUUAGGACUGCAAUAUGUAACUUUAAUCUUUAACUGAAUGCUUUGGGAAGAGCAGCGACACAGGGUGAUAGCCCCGUAAGUGAAAGAGAUUGAGUGCUAGCAGUAUCCAGAGUACCAGCGGACACGUGAAACCCGCUGGGAAGAUGGGGGGACCAUCCUCCAAGCCUAAAUACUACUCAGUGACCGAUAGUGGAGCAGUACCGUGAGGGAAAGGUGAAAAGUACCCCGGGAGGGGAGUGAAAGAGAACCUGAAACCUUGUGCCUACAAGCACCGAGAGCACGUUAAAGUGUGAUCGGGUACUUUUUGUAGAACGGUCCGGCGAGUUAAUAUUUGCAGCGAGGUUAAGUAACUGGAGUUACGGAGCCGCAGCGAGAGCGAGUCUGAAUAGGGCGUAUGAAGUUGCAGGUAUUAGACCCGAAACCGGGUGACCUAUCCAUGAGCAGGCUGAAGCGGUGGUAAGACACCGUGGAGGGCCGCACCCACGUCUGUUGAAAAAGCCGGGGAUGACUUGUGGAUAGCGGAGAAAUUCCAAUCGAACUCGGAGAUAGCUGGUUCUCCCCGAAAUAGCUUUAGGGCUAGCGUUAUUUUAGAUUACCGGAGGUAAAGCACUGAAUGGUCUAGGGGCCGCGAGGUUACCAAAGCCUAUCAAACUCUGAAUGCCGGAUAAUUGAUGAAUAGCAGUCAGACUGUGUGAGAUAAGUCUCAUAGUCAAAAGGGAAACAGCCCAGAUCUACAGCUAAGGUCCCAAAUGAACACUAAGUGGAAAAUGAUGUGAAACUGCGAAGACAACCAGGAUGUUGGCUUAGAAGCAGCCACUCAUUCAAAGAGUGCGUAAUAGCUCACUGGUCGAGUGGUUUUGCGCAGAAAAUGUAACGGGGCUAAGUGUUCAACCGAAGCUUAGGCAUUGCAGUAAUGCAUUGGGUAGGGGAGCGUCGUAUGCGGGGCGAAGUCAGAGCGGAAGCACUGGUGGACUGCAUACGAGUGAGAAUGCCGGAAUAAGUAGCGAGAAUUAUGUGAGAAUCAUAAUGGCCGAAAAUCUAAGGUUUCCUGGGGAAGGUUCGUCCGCCCAGGGUUAGUCGGGAGCUAAGCUCAGGCCGAAAGGCGUAGGCGAUGCACAUACGGUAGAAAUUCCGUAACCACCGAACUUUAAGCUAGAGGGACGCUUUCUUUAAGGUUAUCCCGGGCGAUGGUUGCCCCGGGCGUAAGGGACCGAAAUUUAGUAGGGAAGUAACUGGCGAGAGAGACGAGAAAAGCUCUAGUGUAUACUAAGGUGCCCGUACCGCAAACCGACACAGGUAGAAGGGAUGAGUAUUCUAAGGCCAACGGGAGAAGGGUUGUUAAGGAACUCGGCAAAUUGGCCCCGUAACUUCGGGAUAAGGGGCGCCUGCGAGAGCAGGCCGCAGUGAAAAGGCCCAAGCGACUGUUUAGCAAAAACACAGCUCUCUGCUAAAUCGAAAGAUGACGUAUAGGGGGUGACGCCUGCCCGGUGCUGGAAGGUUAAGGGGAGUGCUUAGCGCAAGCGAAGGUGCGAACUUAAGCCCCAGUAAACGGCGGCCGUAACUAUAACGGUCCUAAGGUAGCGAAAUUCCUUGUCAGGUAAGUUCUGACCCGC